This 506-nucleotide ribosomal RNA is filed under the name uncultured bacterium. RNAcentral describes it as "partial 16S ribosomal RNA". It matches the Rfam family "Bacterial small subunit ribosomal RNA", at positions 28 to 523 of the family's 1533-position model. The record is from RNAcentral.
GAUGAACGCUGGCGGCGUGCUUAACACAUGCAAGUCGAACGAAGCACUUUUGAUUGAUUUCCUCGGAAUGAUUUCACUUGUGACUGAGUGGCGGACGGGUGAGUAACGCGUGGGUAACCUGCCUCAUACAGGGGGAUAACAGUUAGAAAUGACUGCUAAUACCGCAUAAGCGCACGGUAUCGCAUGAUACAGUGUGAAAAACUCCGGUGGUAUGAGAUGGACCCGCGUCUGAUUAGCUAGUUGGUGAGGUAACGGCUCACCAAGGCGACGAUCAGUAUCCGACCUGAGAGGGUGACCGGCCACAUUGGGACUGAGACACGGCCCAAACUCCUACGGGAGGCAGCAGUGGGGAAUAUUGCACAAUGGGCGAAAGCCUGAUGCAGCGACGCCGCGUGAAUGAAGAAGUAUUUCGGUAUGUAAAGUUCUAUCAGCAGGGAAGAUAAUGACCAAAUUGACUGUACCUGACUAAGAAGCCCCGGCUAACUACGUGCCAGCAGCCGCAGUAA